AAACUGUAACAACUCGAAGGAUUUUUAUUAUUACGGUAAAUAACGAUUUAAUUUCCUCUUUAAAAAUCUACUUUGGUGAUAGUUUACUAAUUAACCAAAACCUGUAAUUACUUCUUUACUUAAUAUACUAAUAGGUCGCAUGUUUAAUGAACUUCUGCCUUGUCUCCGAUAAAGCUUAUUAAAAUCGAAAGAAUAUCUAACACACAGUAAAUUUUGCGUUAAUAUUAAAUAAUUAAUUAAAGUUUGAAUGGUUAAUUAAUUAUCUAAUAUCUAGACUGUCAUCUAUGCUAAUUUUUAUUGCCUGAGGAAUCUUUAUCUCUGCCGAAGCUAUUCUGCACUUCGAUUCAUCCUUGGAGAUUAGCAGCUGGAAUUAUUCUUUCAAUAAUGCAGACAGGUGAAAAGCCAUCUAAAACAUGGAAAAUCCUAAGAAUAUCCCUGAGGAAUUAUUACUGGAAAAGGAAGGUUUUUUUUACCUUUCUUCUCAAUUCACCUGUGAAAUCCUUUGGGACGGUCGAGAUGCACUACAGAAAAUAUCAUCUAAUUGAAAAUGGUCUUCUUUACUCCAAAUGCAUUUCUUUUCUCUCCUAAAAUUGGAUUUGUGUUUUAUACAUAUAACAUUAUGGUACCAAAUUAAACUUUUACUGCCGAAUUAUUAUAUAAAAUAAAAUAAAAUAAAAAAACGUUUAGGC
RNAcentral lists this long non-coding RNA (689 nucleotides) under Androctonus crassicauda. The record is from RNAcentral. Lineage: Eukaryota; Metazoa; Arthropoda; Arachnida; Scorpiones; Buthidae.